Molecule: ribosomal RNA, 466 nt
Filed under: uncultured bacterium
Lineage: Bacteria
Description: partial 16S ribosomal RNA
Rfam family: Bacterial small subunit ribosomal RNA
Source: RNAcentral
GACGAACGCUGGCGGCGUGCUUAACACAUGCAAGUCGAACGGAAAGGCCCUGCUUUUGUGGGGUGCUCGAGUGGCGAACGGGUGAGUAACACGUGAGUAACCUGCCCUUUACUUUGGGAUAACUUCAGGAAACUGGGGCUAAUACCGGAUAGGAGCUCCUGCUGCAUGGUGGGGGUUGGAAAGUUUCGGCGGUUGGGGAUGGACUCGCGGCUUAUCAGCUUGUUGGUGGGGUAGUGGCUUACCAAGGCUUUGACGGGUAGCCGGCCUGAGAGGGUGACCGGCCACAGGGGGACGGAGAUACGGCCGAGACUCCUGCGGGAGAGAGGAGUGGGGAAUAUUGCACAAUGCGGGGAAGCCUGAUGCAGCAGCGGCGCGUGAGAGAUCGGGGCUUUGGGGUUAAAAACCGUUUUCGCGUGUGGCGCAGCGUGAGAGGCGAUAAGGGGUAAAGAAGCCCGGGAUAAAUGUG